RNAcentral lists this ribosomal RNA (1263 nucleotides) under Lactiplantibacillus plantarum. RNAcentral describes it as "bacterial SSU rRNA". It matches the Rfam family "Bacterial small subunit ribosomal RNA", at positions 80 to 1331 of the family's 1533-position model. Lineage: Bacteria; Bacillati; Bacillota; Bacilli; Lactobacillales; Lactobacillaceae. The record is from RNAcentral.
UUACAUUUGAGUGAGUGGCGAACUGGUGAGUAACACGUGGGAAACCUGCCCAGAAGCGGGGGAUAACACCUGGAAACAGAUGCUAAUACCGCAUAACAACUUGGACCGCAUGGUCCGAGCUUGAAAGAUGGCUUCGGCUAUCACUUUUGGAUGGUCCCGCGGCGUAUUAGCUAGAUGGUGGGGUAACGGCUCACCAUGGCAAUGAUACGUAGCCGACCUGAGAGGGUAAUCGGCCACAUUGGGACUGAGACACGGCCCAAACUCCUACGGGAGGCAGCAGUAGGGAAUCUUCCACAAUGGACGAAAGUCUGAUGGAGCAACGCCGCGUGAGUGAAGAAGGGUUUCGGCUCGUAAAACUCUGUUGUUAAAGAAGAACAUAUCUGAGAGUAACUGUUCAGGUAUUGACGGUAUUUAACCAGAAAGCCACGGCUAACUACGUGCCAGCAGCCGCGGUAAUACGUAGGUGGCAAGCGUUGUCCGGAUUUAUUGGGCGUAAAGCGAGCGCAGGCGGUUUUUUAAGUCUGAUGUGAAAGCCUUCGGCUCAACCGAAGAAGUGCAUCGGAAACUGGGAAACUUGAGUGCAGAAGAGGACAGUGGAACUCCAUGUGUAGCGGUGAAAUGCGUAGAUAUAUGGAAGAACACCAGUGGCGAAGGCGGCUGUCUGGUCUGUAACUGACGCUGAGGCUCGAAAGUAUGGGUAGCAAACAGGAUUAGAUACCCUGGUAGUCCAUACCGUAAACGAUGAAUGCUAAGUGUUGGAGGGUUUCCGCCCUUCAGUGCUGCAGCUAACGCAUUAAGCAUUCCGCCUGGGGAGUACGGCCGCAAGGCUGAAACUCAAAGGAAUUGACGGGGGCCCGCACAAGCGGUGGAGCAUGUGGUUUAAUUCGAAGCUACGCGAAGAACCUUACCAGGUCUUGACAUACUAUGCAAAUCUAAGAGAUUAGACGUUCCCUUCGGGGACAUGGAUACAGGUGGUGCAUGGUUGUCGUCAGCUCGUGUCGUGAGAUGUUGGGUUAAGUCCCGCAACGAGCGCAACCCUUAUUAUCAGUUGCCAGCAUUAAGUUGGGCACUCUGGUGAGACUGCCGGUGACAAACCGGAGGAAGGUGGGGAUGACGUCAAAUCAUCAUGCCCCUUAUGACCUGGGCUACACACGUGCUACAAUGGAUGGUACAACGAGUUGCGAACUCGCGAGAGUAAGCUAAUCUCUUAAAGCCAUUCUCAGUUCGGAUUGUAGGCUGCAACUCGCCUACAUGAAGUCGGAA